UUUAAUGCCGUCAGGACUUUUAGUAUGUUUUGUCCCUAACCACCCUGAAAAAGUUCCUGCAGAAAUCGCUUAGGCUUCCGCUCACGCAUUCUACACCUACUUAGUUGACUGAGCUAAUUAUA
Aricia agestis (brown argus) is the source of this 122-nucleotide long non-coding RNA. RefSeq lists it as uncharacterized. The transcript is spliced from 3 exons. The record is from RefSeq and is a predicted model, not a curated record. NCBI's taxonomy places the organism in Eukaryota, Metazoa, Arthropoda, Insecta, Lepidoptera, Lycaenidae.